AUUGAACGCUGGCGGCAUGCCUUACACAUGCAAGUCGAACGGUAACAGGUCUUCGGAUGCUGACGAGUGGCGAACGGGUGAGUAAUACAUCGGAACGUGCCUAGUAGUGGGGGAUAACUACUCGAAAGAGUGGCUAAUACCGCAUGAGACCUACGGAUGAAAGCAGGGGAUCGCAAGACCUUGUGCUACUAGAGCGGCCGAUGGCAGAUUAGGUAGUUGGUGGGAUAAAAGCUUACCAAGCCGACGAUCUGUAGCCGGUCCGAGAGGACGAUCAGCCACACUGGGACUGAGACACGGCCCAGACUCCUACGGGAGGCAGCAGUGGGGAAUUUUGGACAAUGGGCGAAAGCCUGAUCCAGCAAUGCCGCGUGCAGGAUGAAGGCCUUCGGGUUGUAAACUGCUUUUGUACGGAACGAAAAGCCCCGGGUUAAUACCCUGGGGUCAUGACGGUACCGUAAGAAUAAGCACCGGCUAACUACGUGCCACCAGCCGCGGUAA
RNAcentral lists this ribosomal RNA (498 nucleotides) under uncultured bacterium. RNAcentral's name for it is "partial 16S ribosomal RNA". It matches the Rfam family "Bacterial small subunit ribosomal RNA", at positions 30 to 523 of the family's 1533-position model. The record is from RNAcentral.